RNAcentral lists this ribosomal RNA (301 nucleotides) under uncultured bacterium. RNAcentral describes it as "partial 16S ribosomal RNA". It matches the Rfam family "Bacterial small subunit ribosomal RNA", at positions 509 to 809 of the family's 1533-position model. The record is from RNAcentral.
CAGCAGCCGCGGGAAUACGUAGGGUGCGAGCGUUAAUCGGAAUUACUGGGCGUAAAGCGUGCGCAGGCGGUUCGUUAAGACAGAUGUGAAAUCCCCGGGCUUAACCUGGGAACUGCAUUUGUGACUGACGGGCUAGAGUAUGGCAGAGGGGGGUAGAAUUCCACGUGUAGCAGUGAAAUGCGUAGAGAUGUGGAGGAAUACCGAUGGCGAAGGCAGCCCCCUGGGCCAAUACUGACGCUCAUGCACGAAAGCGUGGGGAGCAAACAGGAUUAGAUACCCCGGUAGUCCCUGUCUCUUAUAA